UCAAAGCUCAUAAAAUCCAUUGUGAACAUAACAUAUCAGUUAGCUGUGUCUCUGUGGCACAGCUGCAAUGUUGCAUCAUGUGCAGACAUUGUUAUUUUUUAACGAAGUACUUUUGUCUUGUUUUCAGUACAAAUUAUGUAAAAAUUCUUAAAUCAAGAUGCAUUUUCUUGAUAAGCCAAAUUAUUUUUGGCAAAAUCUCAAAUUUAAAUAAAAUUGUUGCCUAAAACAAGCAAAAACUAAAUAAUCUGCCAAUGGGGUAAGAACAUUUUCCUUGAUUAACUUAUUUCAAGAUUUUUUUCUUACCUCAUUGAUAGAUUUUUUUAAGCACAAUAUCACUUCAAUUAGAUUUUUUUUUGUCUAAAAACUAAACGUAUUUUCUAGAAAAUGCAUCUUGAUUUAGGAAUUUUUACAUAUUUGUGCUGAAAAAAGACAAAAAUACUAAGUAAGAAAGUAAUUUUUUUUUGCCAUCCACUUUUUUUCAAGUUAUCCAUCCACUACUUAAUAUUAUGCAAAAACUGCUCAAACAUUUGGCUGUAAGUCUCAAUGUCACUUACUGUGCUCGCAUGAGCUUGGCUGAUCUUUCCUCUGACGGGAAAUGCGUAAACGGUGGAAGAUUUCCUGUUCAAUCCUCUUUCCUCCUCAUCCUUGGGAUGCUAUUUCUAACACUUUAACUCUGUCUGGUAUGAGGCUUAGUAUUGGGAUAAGAAGUUAACUGUGUUUAUAGCGUCCUGUUUGGCAAGGCAGCACAGUCUUAUGUAAAGUAUUUAACUAAUACUUCACAUGCACUCUUACUUUUUCUACAGUAUACUGUGUAUAUUGUGGAUGUAUUAGCUAUUAAUUUUACAUAUCUAUGUUUUGACUCAAUUUGAUCAGAUUGCACAAAGAACUUUCAACACACAAAUUCAGGAAGCUGUGACCUCACCAGCUCGUUUCCAUGAAGCCACAUUCACUUGAUCCUGGCUUUAAAACUAAUUUGCAUGUUAUGAUAUGCAAAUAAUCUUAUAAGGAAAAACAGUAAUAUGCAUUGAUGCAAACACUAUGCUACUAUUUUUUUUUUAUUUUUUUGUUUAUUUUGUUACUGAUCAAAAUGAUUUUGUCAACUGCAGCAUAGUUACACUUCCGUUGCUUGUUUUGAAACCAAAGAGUUAUUCAGUUGUGAAAUUUUCUUGUAACUUGAAAAUGUCGACACGCAAUUAGAUCUUAUUUAGCAAAAUAUAAUUCUACACUUCUACACUUGCUAUUGUGGCAAUCUCUAAAAUAUUAAAUGUAAAUUUUAUUUUACGGUUGUAUUAAAAUAAAGUGUUAUAGGCCUGGUUUUACAGACAAGGCUUUGUUAAAGCCAGGACUAGGCCUUAGUUAAAUUAAGAUGUUUAAGCAACUUUAAUAAACAUGCCUUAAGCCAGUGCCAUUGAUUUGUCCUAUUUUAAGAUCUGCCAGUGCAAAUUUUUUAAAGAGCACAUAUUUCAUUGCUAAAAACAAUGUUAUUUUGUGUAUUUGGUAUAAUAUAAUGCGUUUGCGUGGUUUAUGGUUAAAAAACACAUUAUUUUUCACAUACCGUACAUUUUUGUAGCUCCAGAUUUCACUCUCUUCCUGAAACGCAUGGAUUUGAAAAGCUUUGUCCCCCUGAUUGGCCAGCUAAUCUGUACGUUGUGAUUGGUCUGAAUACCUCUGACAUGUGCGCGAAUCUUUCAAAGAUUCGUGCGCAAUGCUAACAGGAGUUAACUUCUCUCAUAGAGAAUGAGACAUGGUAUGUGAACCAUAUGCUCAUUUUCUCGUAUUUAAGGUGUAGUUUACGAAUGCCCAGAGCCGUUUAUUGGGCGCUACGAAUGUCUAUAAAAUGCGUCUGUACGUAGCUCAUAGCCAAUCGUUCAAUUAUACCAGAUGACGUAUGUAGAGUGACAUAAAUUCAAAUGUAAACAACUUUUAUCGGUUUUUGAAUUUUGUCGGUUCAACUUCGCGUCUGUUGCCGUGUUAUAACAAAUAACAAAAAUGCUUCUGUGUGUCGCAUAGAUGUCGUCAUCGUCUUGCUGCCUCUCCUCGUUCUGUGAUUGGGUUCCCUAUUUCAGGGGCAAAAAAGGGCUAUAGUUUAUUCACAAAUUUAUUCAUGCUGCAAGUCUAGCAUUGGGAAACCCAGGCUAGGCUGAGUCCAUAGCGGGAGGAAUUAUGAUAAUGUCGGUCUUCUCUACGUCACCAAUCCCAGGAAGUAAACUGUGUGUUUGUUGUAGUCCAAGAAAAGAGAUUUACAUUGGAAACGAUAACUCGUGUCAUCGUUUCCCUUGGGGUUUGUACCUUUUGCAUAUUGUUAACAUGUACUAAUACACACCAAAGGAAAUGUAAAAUCAUGAAUCGGACAAUUGGUGCUCUUUAUCUUAUUUCUUGAGUGACAGGUGUUUUGCCACUGGUGUCACUACCGUCGAGCUAGGUGGGCGUGGUUUCAGAGAGCAGGCACCUCAGCUCCAUCCACAUUCCGCCUCUUUGCCCAUUUUUGGUUAUCCGGGAGCGACACAUGGCGAUGCACUGCCAAGAUGGUGACAUCCACCCCCGCCCACUUUGGGCUUCAAAAAUAAUCUUCCGAAACCUACGGGUGACAUGUGCGUCCAUGUUUUAUACAGUCUAUGGUGCUGAAGCAGCUCGCGUGACACUUACGCAAUAUCAGACUUUAUUCGCCUCAAAGAAAAGCAUUUUUACACAGUCUGAAUCGUUUCUUAUCCCCUGCUUUUAGCUUUUAAUUUCCCAUAUAAAAACAAUAAAGAGGGUCACGCCGCGUCGAGUCACGUCUAGGACAACUCGGAGGUAUCGUAGAACCGGAAGUGUUAAACAUUAAAUAGCGCAAGCUUCGUCAGAUAGCGUCUACUUCAAAAUGCAAAAUAAACGUUAGCAGCUAAUGUUAAUCAUUAAUGAUUUGGGACAAAUAUGAUGUUAUUUAAUGUUAAACUAUGUGAAUGGCGCUCUGUGGCGCGACAGGGAUUUGAGCAACCUCCUGAGUCAAAGCUGGGCCCCGCGGACAGGCGCCACCUUUCGGCGCCAGUGUGCGUAUACUCAUAGAAAACAAUGUGUUUGUUUUUUUUUUUUAGAACGCCGCAGCGCUGAGCUGCGCGUGUGGUGUGCGACCCCCUUAAAUGUAUUAACAUUUGAUUUGACACGAAAUUUGAUGAGAAGCUUAAGUGUUUCGUCAU
Misgurnus anguillicaudatus (oriental weatherfish) is the source of this 3176-nucleotide non-coding RNA. The record is from RefSeq and is a predicted model, not a curated record. Lineage: Eukaryota; Metazoa; Chordata; Actinopteri; Cypriniformes; Cobitidae.